GAUGAACGCUGGCGGCGUGCCUAAUACAUGCAAGUCGAGCGAACGGACGAGAAGCUUGCUUCUCUGAUGUUAGCGGCGGACGGGUGAGUAACACGUGGAUAACCUACCUAUAAGACUGGGAUAACUUCGGGAAACCGUAGCUAAUACCGGAUAAUAUUUUGAACCGCAUGGUCCAAAAGUGAAAGACGGUCUUGCUGUCACUUAUAGAUGGAUCCGCGCUGCAUUAGCUAGUUGGUAAGGUAACGGCUUACCAAGGCAACGAUGCAUAGCCGACCUGAGAGGGUGAUCGGCCACACUGGAACUGAGACACGGUCCAGACUCCUACGGGAGGCAGCAGUAGGGAAUCUUCCGCAAUGGGCGAAAGCCUGACGGAGCAACGCCGCGUGAGUGAUAAAGGUCUUCGGAUCGUAAAACUCUGUUAUUAGGGAAGAACAUAUGUGUAAGUAACUGUGCACAUCUUGACGGUACCUAAUCAGAAAGCCACGGCUAACUACGUG
This 497-nucleotide ribosomal RNA is filed under the name uncultured bacterium. RNAcentral's name for it is "partial 16S ribosomal RNA". It matches the Rfam family "Bacterial small subunit ribosomal RNA", at positions 28 to 507 of the family's 1533-position model. The record is from RNAcentral.